This 299-nucleotide unclassified non-coding RNA is filed under the name Hevea brasiliensis (rubber tree). The record is from RNAcentral. Lineage: Eukaryota; Viridiplantae; Streptophyta; Magnoliopsida; Malpighiales; Euphorbiaceae.
ACUUUUGACUUAUGAGAAAUGUUAAUUCGGUAUGUAUAAUUCAGAGUUAUAGACAUGUUAGCAUGACACAUAAUGUGUAUUUAAGACUAGAAAGCUUUCAAAUAAACUCUAACACAAUGGAUGGCUACAGUUGUCGCUUGUCACCACCUCCCCUAAGUUGGGGGCAAACUUAGGGGUGGGGUGGGGCUUGAAACAAACACUAAAAUUUUGGGGUAUUAUAAAGUGAUAUGGUUGUUUGCAUCUUGGAACUAACAUAUGAAUGGCUUUCUGAUUUCAGAUUAGGUGAAUCGGUUGAUAGA